AUAGUUUACGAUAAAGGU
This 18-nucleotide ribosomal RNA is filed under the name Schistosoma turkestanicum. RNAcentral describes it as "12S ribosomal RNA". Lineage: Eukaryota; Metazoa; Platyhelminthes; Trematoda; Strigeidida; Schistosomatidae. The record is from RNAcentral.